AACGCGAAGAACCUUACCAGGUCUUGACAUACUAUGCAAAUCUAAGAGAUUAGACGUUCCCUUCGGGGACAUGGAUACAGGUGGUGCAUGGUUGUCGUCAGCUCGUGUCGUGAGAUGUUGGGUUAAGUCCCGCAACGAGCGCAACCCUUAUUAUCAGUUGCCAGCAUUAAGUUGGGCACUCUGGUGAGACUGCCGGUGACAAACCGGAGGAAGGUGGGGAUGACGUCAAAUCAUCAUGCCCCUUAUGACCUGGGCUACACACGUGCUACAAUGGAUGGUACAACGAGUUGCGAACUCGCGAGAGUAAGCUAAUCUCUUAAAGCCAUUCUCAGUUCGGAUUGUAGGCUGCAACUCGCCUACAUGAAGUCGGAAUCGCUAGUAAUCGCGGAUCAGC
Molecule: ribosomal RNA, 394 nt
Filed under: uncultured bacterium
Lineage: Bacteria
Description: bacterial SSU rRNA
Rfam family: Bacterial small subunit ribosomal RNA
Source: RNAcentral